CAUCAUGGCCCUUACGACCAGGGCUACACACGUGCUACAAUGGCGCAUACAAAGAGAAGCGACCUCGCGAGAGCAAGCGGACCUCAUAAAGUGCGUCGUAGUCCGGAUUGGAGUCUGCAACUCGACUCCAUGAAGUCGGAAUCGCUAGUAAUCGUGGAUCAGAAUGCCACGGUGAAUACGUUCCCGGGCCUUGUACACACCGCCCGUCACACCAUGGGAGUGGGUUGCAAAAGAAGUAGGUAGCUUAACCUUCGGGAGGGCGCUUACCACUUUGUGAUUCAUGACUGGGGUGAAGUCGUAACAAGGUAACCGUAGGGGAACCUGCGGUUGGAUCAC
RNAcentral lists this ribosomal RNA (336 nucleotides) under Escherichia coli. Its description in RNAcentral is "bacterial SSU rRNA". It matches the Rfam family "Bacterial small subunit ribosomal RNA", at positions 1191 to 1526 of the family's 1533-position model. RNAcentral also lists the same sequence under 1 other name. Lineage: Bacteria; Pseudomonadati; Pseudomonadota; Gammaproteobacteria; Enterobacterales; Enterobacteriaceae. The record is from RNAcentral.